This 157-nucleotide ribosomal RNA is filed under the name uncultured Cortinarius. RNAcentral describes it as "5.8S ribosomal RNA". It matches the Rfam family "5.8S ribosomal RNA". From Rfam's summary of the family: 5.8S ribosomal RNA (5.8S rRNA) is a component of the large subunit of the eukaryotic ribosome. It is transcribed by RNA polymerase I as part of the 45S precursor that also contains 18S and 28S rRNA. Lineage: Eukaryota; Fungi; Basidiomycota; Agaricomycetes; Agaricales; Cortinariaceae. The record is from RNAcentral.
AACUUUCAGCAACGGAUCUCUUGGCUCUCGCAUCGAUGAAGAACGCAGCGAAAUGCGAUAAGUAAUGUGAAUUGCAGAAUUCAGUGAAUCAUCGAAUCUUUGAACGCACCUUGCGCUCUUUGGUAUUCCGAGGAGCAUGCCUGUUUGAGUGUCAUUA